Molecule: ribosomal RNA, 253 nt
Filed under: uncultured bacterium
Lineage: Bacteria
Description: partial 16S ribosomal RNA
Rfam family: Bacterial small subunit ribosomal RNA
Source: RNAcentral
UACAGAGGGUGCGAGCGUUAAUCGGAGUUACUGGGCGUAAAGGGCGCGUAGGCGGUUAUUUAAGUGAGAUGUGAAAUCCCUGGGCUUAACCUAGGAACUGCAUCUCAUACUGGAUAGCUAGAGUAUUGUAGAGGGUAGUGGAAUUUCCGGUGUAGCGGUGAAAUGCGUAGAGAUCGGAAGGAACACCAGUGGCGAAGGCGGCUACCUGGACAAAUACUGACGCUGAGGCGCGAAAGCGUGGGGAGCAAACAGG